RNAcentral lists this non-coding RNA (28 nucleotides) under Bombyx mori (domestic silkworm). The record is from RNAcentral. Lineage: Eukaryota; Metazoa; Arthropoda; Insecta; Lepidoptera; Bombycidae.
UGAACAAACUGGUCAAAAAUGCGUCUGA